Molecule: long non-coding RNA, 2360 nt
Organism: Equus caballus (horse)
Lineage: Eukaryota; Metazoa; Chordata; Mammalia; Perissodactyla; Equidae
Source: Ensembl
CGAGCGGGCGGGACUCGGACCCGCCGCUCUCGGUCCCGCGCAGAGCCGCGGGGAGCAGCGCACCGGGCACAGGGGAGGCAGCGCGGGGUCAGCCGUCCGAACACCGGGGGCCCCGCACUUCGCCGCCCUGGGGGCGGGCCCACGCACUCCUGCCUCCGGGGCCCCCAGCACCAGGGUUCUGCCGGGCUGCAGGACUCGGAGCUGCCGCUGAGUCAACCUGAGCUGGAGAGGGUCGUGUUCGCGGUGCGGAGUCUCUGCAGCCCCGGCUGGGCUCCUGGCCAUGCCCCCGCCCCCCCCCCCCCCCCCAGGCCCCUUUGUUGUGCAGUGAGACCGGUAGCGCCUCCGCCGGAACCUUCAUUCGAACCCCGCGCCCUUGCCACAAAAGAGGUGAACCGGCCAGGGCCGAGGAGCCAACCCCGACACCGCAGGGUCCUAGCAGAGGCACCCCCGAUGGCGAGGGGCGCACGGCCAACGCCAUCCCCGAAGAGAAGCCGGGAGGAGCCGGGCUCGGCAGGCAGGAGCCGGCGGCGGCGGUGCGCUGGGCCUUCCGCCUUCGCGCCUCCGCAUUCUGCAGCCGCUUCCCCGCUGGGAUUCGAACCCGGACAGAGCCCCCACUGCUCGGGGCGACAAGUCUCGCGUUCCUCUCGCCUCCCCACAGAGAAGGUGCUCUCUGCCGGCUCUGAUUCUCACUGACCGCUGCCUCUGCUGUUUCCGGCCCUAGGUGAGUGUUGCCCGCGGCAGCGCCUCGCGCACCAGCAGCUCAGUCUCAUUGCCACCGUCCUUCAGAGAGCCGGUCGCCCCCGCCCUCACCCUGACUGUCUUUUCCUGCGGGCUGGGCAGAGGGUCCCUGGGCCUUGCUGCCAGACUGUGGGGUCUCAAUAGGGAAUCCUCAUGGGGGAGUAGGGUAUUGCUGCAGGCCCCAGCAGGCUCAGAACCCACUGACGGGUGGUGGGGGAGGAGGUCCCUGGUAGAGGAAAGAGGGGAGCUGGGCCCCCCCCCCCACUCUGGAGCUGUGCCUCCUAACCUAGCCAAGGCAGGCUGCAGCUGGUGGGCUGAACCUGGCUGGGGCCACCGCCAGAAAGAACACAAGGUCACCCCAGGGCCCCCUUGCCCGGAGCCUACCAGGGGCUGAGUAUGGGGCUGAGGAGAACAGUGGCACCUGUGAAGCACUCCCACCUGCAGACAGGGUCCCUUCCCCACCCCCAGCCCAGCCCAGCACUCUUCCCUGCCCGCCUGCCCAGGAGGCAGCCCGCAGGCCCCAAGGUGGGGGAGGCACAGCCUUCUCCUAGGGGCGCCCCAGCUCACUCAGGCCCUCUCCCUGCUCCCUCCCUCAGCUCAGGAGGCAAUAAAACCCUCCAGCCCUGGCCAGGCUGGGCCAGGACACCCUCCUGAUUCUGGGGCUGUGCCCUUGCCAGGGUCUGGGGAAGGAGGGCUGGAGGCCUGGGAAGAAGGCCUAGGCCCCGGGGAGGUGGAGGGUGCUGCUGCUUAGGAUCUGUCUGUGGAGGGGGAGGAGGGGUCCGGAGGAGCAGCCCAGGAGCCACACCCCCAGGCGCUGCAGCAGCGGAGGCCAGCCAGCGCGAUCAGCUCGAGGAGUGUAAGCAGACUGUCCCCAAGGCCAUGGCCCUGGCCGAGGUUGGGUCCUGGCCCGGCCAGGCCCUGCCCCCGCGUGGCCAGACUUAGAACAAAUUGGAGAGCAGGUCAGGCAUUGUGGAGUCCCAAGGAGAGAGUGAAUGAGCAAGGACAAUCAGACUGCCGUCCUCCUGGGCACCCAGCCCCGUGUCCUGCCCCACAGACAUUUGGGGACUCUGGAGUGGAGGUAUGGGAAAAGGAGCAGUUUUCAUUGCAUUGAUACUCAAAGGUUUAAGGGCAGUUUUCAAACUGAGCCAAGCUCUGGGGAAUCUUGUGGUCGAUGCCGGGCCUGGGGGACCCCGCACUGGGAGGUGGAAAUGCUACCCACCCCAUCCCGGUGACCUCCUUGGCUUCUAACUCUGUCAGACUGUCAGAGGCUGGUGAGGUGCGGGUUGGCUGCGUGGACGUGCCCUACACUCUAUCGAGUUUUGGAACUGAGUUCAUUGCUGCAAUCUAGGGGGCCGAGAAAAAGGACUUUUACCACCAACUUCCGCUGCAUUCUGGAGCCCCGAUUCAGCCCCCGGAGCUCUGCCCUCUCCCAGCCUUUCCACCAAGCAGAGAGAGGCAGCCGGAGACCCAUGAUCAGAUGAACUCUUUUGGGAGUGGGCGGGUUUGGGAGAGCGAGCAAAGCUGGUCCUACAGUGCUGUAAGAAGCAUUGUGUGGGGUGAGCAGGGAGGGGUCCCCGACUCCGAGGCUCCCCGAGAAGCCACGAGCAGUAAAACCACACUGG